UGUUUUUUUUUUUAAGCUUUUUUCUAUUCCAUUAAAUUAUUUUUGUUGUGAACAGCUGUGAUACGCUUUCAUUUCGCUGAAUUGUGUUAUUCUUAAUUGUUUCUCUUCAUGUUUAUUUUGUUGUUCUGUAUAAUAUUCUAGUCAAUCCUUGUGUUUUAUUUUGCGAAAAAUAAAGCACUAGAGAGUGAUGUUUUGACCGCGUUGAAGAAUGCUUUCGCCGUUACACGUUACUCCCUGAUGAAUUAGGCAACAGAAUAAUAAUGCAGUAUGACGUUUUUAUCUUAUCUACCACUGUGAACGAUUGGUGAAUAAUAGUUGACUCCGGAAAGUGAAAUUUGAGAUGGCUACCACAUCCAUGGGAAACAGUAGUUGCGCAAAUUACCCAUUCUCAGAAUCAGGAGAUAGUGAUGAAAAAUAAAGAGACUUUCUCUUUGAGGCUGAUUAUCAGAAUGGGUACAAUUCAAACCUGUUUGAGGGGAUCUAUGAAAGGUCGAGUCUGGUGCCAGCAGACGAGAUAACUUCCAGCUGUUAAAGUGCA
This 538-nucleotide non-coding RNA is filed under the name Loa loa (African eye worm). RNAcentral describes it as "Eukaryotic small subunit ribosomal RNA". The stretch from base 224 to 538 matches the Rfam family "Eukaryotic small subunit ribosomal RNA", at positions 1 to 601 of the family's 1831-position model. The record is from Rfam by way of RNAcentral. Lineage: Eukaryota; Metazoa; Nematoda; Chromadorea; Rhabditida; Onchocercidae.